Molecule: ribosomal RNA, 253 nt
Filed under: uncultured Eubacteriales bacterium
Lineage: Bacteria; Bacillati; Bacillota; Clostridia; Eubacteriales
Description: uncultured Clostridiales bacterium partial 16S ribosomal RNA
Rfam family: Bacterial small subunit ribosomal RNA
Source: RNAcentral
UACGUAGGGGGCAAGCGUUAUCCGGAUUUACUGGGUGUAAAGGGAGCGUAGACGGCCAGACAAGUCAGAAGUGAAAGCCCAGGGCUCAACCCUGGGACUGCUUUUGAAACUGCCGGGCUGGAGUGCAGGAGAGGUAAGCGGAAUUCCUAGUGUAGCGGUGAAAUGCGUAGAUAUUAGGAGGAACACCAGUGGCGAAGGCGACUUUCUGGACUGUACCUGACGCUGAGGCGCGAAAGCGUGGGUAGCGAACGGG